UACGUAGGGUGCAAGCGGUAAUCGGAAUUACUGGGCGUAAAGCGUGCGCAGGCGGUUUUGUAAGUCUGACGUGAAAUCCCCGGGCUCAACCUGGGAAUUGCGUUGGAGACUGCAAGGCUAGAAUCUGGCAGAGGGGGGUAGAAUUCCACGUGUAGCAGUGAAAUGCGUAGAGAUGUGGAGGAACACCGAUGGCGAAGGCAGCC
Molecule: ribosomal RNA, 203 nt
Filed under: uncultured bacterium
Lineage: Bacteria
Description: partial 16S ribosomal RNA
Rfam family: Bacterial small subunit ribosomal RNA
Source: RNAcentral